RNAcentral lists this ribosomal RNA (484 nucleotides) under uncultured bacterium. RNAcentral's name for it is "partial 16S ribosomal RNA". It matches the Rfam family "Bacterial small subunit ribosomal RNA", at positions 29 to 507 of the family's 1533-position model. The record is from RNAcentral.
AUUGAACGCUGGCGGCAUGCUUUACACAUGCAAGUCGAACGGCAGCGCGGGCUUCGGCCUGGCGGCGAGUGGCGAACGGGUGAGUAAUGCAUCGGAACGUGCCCAGUAGUGGGGGAUAGCCCGGCGAAAGCCGGAUUAAUACCGCAUACGACCUGAGGGUGAAAGCGGGGGACCGAAAGGCCUCGCGCUAUUGGAGCGGCCGAUGUCGGAUUAGCUAGUUGGUGGGGUAAAGGCUUACCAAGGCGACGAUCCGUAGCUGGUCUGAGAGGACGACCAGCCACACUGGGACUGAGACACGGCCCAGACUCCUACGGGAGGCAGCAGUGUGGAAUUUUGGACAAAGGGGGCAACCCUGAUCCAGCCAUGCCGCGUGCGGGAAGAAGGCCUUCGGGUUGUAAACCGCUUUUGUUCGGGAAGAAAUCCUCUGGGCUAAUACCCCGGGGGGAUGACGGUACCGGAAGAAUAAGCACCGGCUAACUACGUG